This 303-nucleotide long non-coding RNA is filed under the name Olea europaea subsp. europaea. Lineage: Eukaryota; Viridiplantae; Streptophyta; Magnoliopsida; Lamiales; Oleaceae. The record is from RNAcentral.
CAUGAGCUCGUUUUUCAACCUUACUUUUUCUGCUGGGUGCUGGACAACACGAAACGAUAAGGCGAAGCUAUGAAAGCUCCGUAGUUGGAGAAAGACGAGGCAAGAAAGCGUUGCUUCAAUCCGAAAUCGCCAAGAAAUUGAAAAAUCAACACUACAAAUCAACGUCGAAAAAUCAACACUGAAAAUCUCGAGCAUUAUUCGAGGGGGUGGAGAGAUAGUUUUCCUUUGGGGUUCUUCAAUUUGGGGUCGUGUGGCUAGAAGUGUAAGAGAGAGCUCUUCAAUUUGGGGUUGUGUAAGAGAGAG